UGUGCGCUGUGUCUGCGCCCUGUUGACUGUUCGCUGAAACUGGCUUCCAAGUUUAUUCAGAGCAUGCGCCAUAUCAACAUCCUACAAAGGGGAGGUGCUAGCAGUCGGACCGGAAGUGGAAGUGGUCCUCCAAGGCUUUUAUGCCGCUGGUGUCAGGAGUAUUUUCAUAUUCCAAUACCGAUAAAUCUUUGAGGUUUCUGGGUGUCUCUUGGGAGCCCCUGGGCCAGAUCUUCCUCCAGACUCCAGCCCAUCUCUUCAGAGCAGCUCUGCUUGAGUUCACAGAUGACUGCCAAGCUUCAGACACCCUAGAGAAAAAGGGCUGAGACCCAGUGUGGCCAUGCCAGCUAAUUGGACCUCACCCCAGAAAUCCUCAGCCCUGGCUCCGGAGGAUCAUGGCAGCUCCUAUGAGGGAUCAGUGUCCUUCAGGGAUGUGGCUAUCGAUUUCAGCAGAGAGGAAUGGCGGCACCUGGACCUUUCUCAGAGAAACCUGUACCGGGAUGUGAUGCUGGAGACCUACAGCCACCUGCUUUCAGUAGGGUAUCAAGUUCCUGAAGCAGAGGUGGUCAUGUUGGAGCAAGGAAAGGAACCAUGGUCACUGCAGGGUGAGAGGCCACGUCACAGCUGCCCAGGAGAGAAAUUAUGGGACCAUAAUCAAUGUAGAAAAAUCCUCAGUUAUAAACAAGUAUCCUCUCAACGUCAAAAAAUGUAUCCUGGGGAGAAAGCUUAUGAAUGCGCCGAAUUUGAAAAGAUAUUCACCCAGAAGUCACAGCUCAAAGUACACCUGAAAGUUCUUGCAGGAGAAAAGCUCUAUGUAUGCAUUGAAUGUGGGAAGGCUUUUGUACAGAAGCCAGAAUUUAUUAUACACCAGAAAACCCAUAUGAGAGAGAAACCCUUUAAAUGCAAUGAAUGUGGAAAAUCCUUUUUUCAAGUAUCGUCCCUCUUCAGGCAUCAGAGAAUUCAUACCGGAGAGAAACUCUAUGAAUGCAGCCAAUGUGGGAAAGGCUUCUCUUAUAACUCAGAUCUCAGUAUACAUGAGAAAAUUCAUACUGGAGAGAGACACCAUGAAUGCACUGACUGUGGCAAAGCGUUCACACAAAAGUCCACACUCAAGAUGCAUCAGAAAAUCCAUACAGGUGACAGAUCCUACAUCUGUAUUGAAUGCGGACAGGCCUUCAUCCAGAAGACUCAUCUGAUUGCACACCGAAGAAUUCAUAGUGGAGAAAAACCAUAUGAGUGCAGUAACUGUGGCAAAUCCUUCAUUUCCAAGUCACAACUUCAGGUACAUCAACGUGUUCACACAAGAGUGAAGCCGUAUAUAUGUACCGAAUAUGGGAAGGUCUUCAGCAAUAAUUCCAACCUCAUUACACAUAAGAAAGUUCAAAGUAGAGAGAAAUCUUCCAUAUGUACUGAGUGUGGGAAGGCCUUUACCUACAGGUCAGAGUUGAUUAUUCAUCAGAGAAUUCACACUGGAGAGAAACCUUAUGAAUGCAGUGACUGUGGAAAAGCCUUCACUCAGAAGUCAGCACUCACAGUGCAUCAGAGAAUUCAUACAGGAGAAAAAUCAUAUAUAUGCAUGAAAUGUGGACUGGCCUUCAUUCAGAAGGCACACUUGAUUGCACAUCAAAUAAUUCAUACUGGAGAGAAACCUUAUAAAUGUGGUCACUGUGGGAAAUUGUUUACUUCCAAGUCACAACUCCAUGUUCAUAAACGAAUUCAUACAGGAGAAAAGCCCUAUAUGUGCAAUAAAUGUGGGAAGGCAUUCACCAACCGGUCAAAUCUCAUUACACAUCAGAAAACUCAUACAGGAGAGAAAUCUUAUAUAUGUUCCAAAUGUGGAAAGGCCUUCACCCAGAGGUCAGACUUGAUUACACAUCAGAGAAUCCAUACUGGGGAGAAGCCUUAUGAAUGCAAUACUUGUGGAAAAGCCUUCACUCAGAAGUCACACCUCAAUAUACACCAGAAAAUUCACACUGGAGAGAGACAGUAUGAAUGCCACGAAUGUGGGAAAGCCUUCAACCAGAAAUCAAUACUCAUUGUUCAUCAGAAAAUUCAUACAGGAGAGAAACCCUAUGUUUGCACUGAGUGUGGAAGAGCUUUCAUCCGCAAGUCAAACUUUAUUACUCAUCAAAGAAUUCAUACUGGAGAGAAGCCUUAUGAAUGCAGUGACUGUGGGAAGUCCUUUACCUCCAAGUCUCAGCUCCUGGUGCAUCAGCCAAUUCACACAGGAGAGAAACCCUAUGUGUGUGCCGAGUGUGGGAAGGCCUUUAGUGGCAGGUCAAAUCUCAGUAAGCACCAGAAAACUCAUACUGGAGAAAAGCCCUACAUUUGUUCUGAAUGUGGGAAGACCUUUCGACAGAAGUCAGAGUUGAUUACACAUCAUAGAAUUCAUACUGGAGAGAAACCGUAUGAGUGCAGUGACUGUGGGAAGUCUUUCACUAAAAAAUCACAGCUCCAAGUGCAUCAACGAAUUCACACCGGAGAGAAGCCUUACGUGUGUGCUGAGUGUGGGAAGGCCUUUACUGACAGGUCAAAUUUGAAUAAACAUCAGACAACACACACUGGAGACAAACCCUACAAGUGUGGCAUCUGUGGGAAAGGCUUCGUUCAGAAAUCAGUGUUCAGUGUCCAUCAGAGCAGCCACGCUUGAGAGAAACAGUGUGAGAAAACCCCACUGAGGGUUAGGUCUGAUUGUACACUGUUGCAUGCAUGCAGCAGAAAAAUAUGUAUAUUAUUGUAAAUAGAAAUGACCACAUCAGAAUGUCACACAUGGCUGUUUUGGAGAGGGCCUCUGAGAAGGCACUGAAUGAGGCGAGGGACCCUUCCUACAUUGUCACCAUCCCCAAUAAACCUUGGGGCAUUAUUCAUACUGACAAGGAACGGAGUCAAUUUGGUGAAUAGAAAAAGCCUUCUCAUGAAAACUACAAUGGAACACUGUUACCAAAUUCUUCAUAAGAAAGAUCAUAUUAUGAGAAUGAUAAUCCUGUUUACUGUGGAUUAGGUAUAGUGCCAACAGUUUGAAUGAUAAAACAACAUAAUAUGUAGUUAUUUUGAUAGUGAUGAAUCCUAAGUUAUGUGAGUUGUUCGUUGUGGAACACAUUGUGUAACAGACUCGUGGAUGUUUUUCUUUCUUGUUCGAAUCUACCACAGUUGGUCAUAUCCAACCCUCAUUCAGUAUUUCUAUCAAGAAAUAGAUGCUACAAAAAAAAAAGAAAAAACCUUUAUGUAUACAGAUGUAAACCUCAGGAUGUAUGUUGAGUCCCCACUGUCAUCUAGCACCGAGACUUGCCACCCCGCUCGUUAUCUACCAUGACUGGUCUCUCAGCCUCACAGGCCCUCAGCACAUUGUGUUUUGACCCGCAGCACAGUGUCUUGUGAACUCCCAUCACCUUCAAGAAAGCUUCUGAGGGUGAAGGUACACUCGAGAUGGUCAUUGAGGACAAGUCAACAAGAGAUUCCUGAGUACGUCUAUGGUCAGCCUUGCGUCUGCAGGUGUACCCAACAGCUCUGAAGAGACAGCGACCAUCGAGAACGGGCCAUGAUGACGAUGGCGGUUUUGUCCAAAAGAAAAGGGGGAAAUGUGGGGAAAAGAGAGAUCAGACUGUUACUGUGUCUGUGUAGAAAGAAGUAGACAUGAGACUCCAUUUUGUUCUGUACCAAGAAAAAUUCUUCUGCCUUGAGAUGCUGUUAAUCUGUAACCCUGGCCCCAACCCUGUGGUUGCAGAGACAUGUGCUGUGUUGACUCAAGGUUUAAUGGAUUUACCAAAGGGCUAUGCAGGAUGUACUUUGUUAAAAAAAAAAAGUGCUUGAAGGCAGUAUGCUUGUUAAAAGUCAUCACCAUUCUCUAAUCUCAAGUACCCAACACAAUACACUGCGGAAGGCCACAGGGACCUCUGCCUAGGAAAGCCAGGUAUUGUCCAAGAUUUCUCCCCAUGUGAUAGCCUGAGAUAUGGCCUCGUAGGAAGGGUAAGACCUGACUGUCCCCCAGCCCGACACCCCCAGCCCAACACCCGUAAAGGGUCUGUGCUGAGGAGGAUUAGUAAAAGAGGAAGGCCUCUUUGCAGUUGAGAUAAGAGGAAGGCAUCUGUCUCCUGCUCAUCCCUGGGCAAUAGAAUGUCUCAGUGUAAAACCCAAUUGUAUGUUCUAUUUACUGAGAUAGGAGAAAACCGCCUUAGGGCUGGAGGUGAGACAUGCUAGCGGUAAUACUGCUCUUUAAUGCACCGAGAUGUUUGUAUACAUGCACAUCAAGGCACAGCACCUUUUCUUAACCUUGUUUAUGACACAGACCUUUGUUUACAUGUUUUCCUGCUGACCCUCUCCCCACUAUUACCCUAUUGUCCUGCCACAUCCCCCUCUCCGAGAUGGUAGAGAUAAUGAUCAAUAAAUACUGAGGGAACUCAGAGACCAGUAAGCACUGGUCCCCUGGGCCCACUUUUCUUUCUCUAUA
RNA transcript from Symphalangus syndactylus (siamang), 4444 nucleotides. It is a transcript of the gene named zinc finger protein 585A, with no coding region annotated. The record is from RefSeq and is a predicted model, not a curated record. Lineage: Eukaryota; Metazoa; Chordata; Mammalia; Primates; Hylobatidae.